UACGUAGGGGGCAAGCGUUGUCCGGAAUCAUUGGGCGUAAAGAGCGUGUAGGCGGUUCGGUAAGUCCGCUGUAAAAGUCCAGGCUCAACCCUGGAAAGCCGGUGGAAACUGUCGAACUAGAGUCCGGAAGAGGCGAGUGGAAUUCCUGGUGUAGCGGUGAAAUGCGCAGAUAUCAGGAGGAACACCAAUGGCGAAGGCAGCUCGCUGGGACGGUACUGACGCUGAGACGCGAAAGCGUGGGGAGCAAACAGG
RNAcentral lists this ribosomal RNA (252 nucleotides) under uncultured bacterium. Its description in RNAcentral is "partial 16S ribosomal RNA". It matches the Rfam family "Bacterial small subunit ribosomal RNA", at positions 524 to 776 of the family's 1533-position model. The record is from RNAcentral.